RNAcentral lists this ribosomal RNA (301 nucleotides) under uncultured bacterium. RNAcentral's name for it is "partial 16S ribosomal RNA". It matches the Rfam family "Bacterial small subunit ribosomal RNA", at positions 509 to 809 of the family's 1533-position model. The record is from RNAcentral.
CAGUCGCCGCGGUAAUACAGAGGAUGCAAGCGUUAUCCGGAAUGAUUGGGCGUAAAGCGUCUGUAGGUGGCUUUUCAAGUCCGCUGUCAAAUCCCAGGGCUCAACCCUGGACAGGCGGUGGAAACUACCAAGCUGGAGUACGUUAGGGGCAGAGGGAAUUUCCGGUGGAGCGGUGAAAUGCGUUGAGAUCGGAGAGAACACCAACGGCGAAAGCACUCUGCUGGGCCGACACUGACACUGAGAGACGAAAGCUAGGGGAGCAAAUGGGAUUAGAUACCCCAGUAGUCCCUGUCUCUUAUAA